This 463-nucleotide ribosomal RNA is filed under the name uncultured bacterium. RNAcentral's name for it is "bacterial SSU rRNA". It matches the Rfam family "Bacterial small subunit ribosomal RNA", at positions 331 to 792 of the family's 1533-position model. The record is from RNAcentral.
CCAGACUCCUACGGGAGGCAGCAGUGAGGAAUAUUGGUCAAUGGCCGGAAGGCUGAACCAGCCAAGCCGCGUGAAGGACGAAGGUGCCAAGCAUUGUAAACUUCUUUUGUCAAGGGACAAAAUCAGGCUCGAGAGCCUGACCGAGGGUACUUGAAGAAAAAGCAUCGGCUAACUCCGUGCCAGCAGCCGCGGUAAUACGGAGGAUGCGAGCGUUAUCCGGAUUUAUUGGGUUUAAAGGGUGCGUAGGCGGGCGGUUAGGACAGGGGUAAAAGCCCGGGGCUCAACCCCGGCGAGCCGUUGAAACUGGCUGUCUUGAGAUGUCGAGAGGUAUGCGGAAUGCGCAGUGUAGCGGUGAAAUGCUUAGAUAUCACGCAGAACCCCGAUUGCGAAGGCAGCAUACCGGUGCACAACUGACGCUCAGGCACGAAAGCGUGGGUAUCGAACAGGAUUAGAUACCCCUGUA